UCCCGGUUGGCCCGGGCAGUCUUGCCUGAAAUUGCAACAGACAGUAAGGGUUGCGCUCGUUGCGGGACUUAACCCAACAUCUCACGACACGAGCUGACGACGGCCAUGCAACACCUGUCACUGCGCUCCCAAAGGGCACUCCCAACUUUCGCCAGGAUUCGCAGGAUGUCAAGCCUUGGUAAGGUUCUUCGCGUACCAUCGAAUUAAACCACAUCAUCCACCGCUUGUGCGGGUCCCCGUCAAUUCCUUUGAGUUUUAAGCUUGCGCUCGUACUCCCCAGGCGGGAUGCUUAACGCGUUAGCUUCACAGCCCAAGGGGUCGAUACCUCGAACUAUUAGCAUCCAUCGUUUACGGCGUGGACUAC
Molecule: unclassified non-coding RNA, 364 nt
Filed under: uncultured bacterium
Lineage: Bacteria
Description: contains 16S-23S intergenic spacer region
Source: RNAcentral